UUCCCCAGACAUUCCCACUUUCCUUUGGUUUUGGAAGCUAAGCCUGAUUAGUACUUGGAUGGGAGAUCUGGGAAUACCAGAUUCUGUAGGAG
RNAcentral lists this ribosomal RNA (92 nucleotides) under Dipodomys ordii (Ord's kangaroo rat). The record is from RNAcentral. Lineage: Eukaryota; Metazoa; Chordata; Mammalia; Rodentia; Heteromyidae.